CCUACGGGUGGCAGCAGUGAGGAAUAUUGGUCAAUGGACGAGAGUCUGAACCAGCCAAGUAGCGUGAAGGAAGACUGCCCUAUGGGUUGUAAACUUCUUUUAUAUGGGAAUAAAAUGUUCCACGUGUGGGUUUUUGUUUGUACCAUAUGAAUAAGGAUCGGCUAACUCCGUGCCAGCAGCCGCGGUACUACGGAGGGUCCGAGCGUUCUCCGGAUUUAUUGGGUUUAAAGGGAGCGUAGGUGGGUUGUUAAGUCAGUUGUGAAAGUGUGCGGCUCAACCGUAAUAUUGCAGUUGAAACUGGCAGUCUUGAGUACAGUAGAGGAGGGCGGAAUUCGUGGUGUAGCGGUGAAAUGCUUAGAUAUCACGAAGAACUCCGAUGGCGAAGGCAGUUCACUGGACUGCAACUGACACUGAGGCUCGAAAGUGUGGGUAUCAAACAGGAUUAGAUACCCUGGUAGUC
RNAcentral lists this ribosomal RNA (460 nucleotides) under uncultured bacterium. RNAcentral's name for it is "partial 16S ribosomal RNA". It matches the Rfam family "Bacterial small subunit ribosomal RNA", at positions 338 to 795 of the family's 1533-position model. The record is from RNAcentral.